RNAcentral lists this unclassified non-coding RNA (267 nucleotides) under Hevea brasiliensis (rubber tree). Lineage: Eukaryota; Viridiplantae; Streptophyta; Magnoliopsida; Malpighiales; Euphorbiaceae. The record is from RNAcentral.
GAGAACGGCCUGCAUUUUCUGUGAGCAGUGAUUCUUUAUUUUAUGUAAAGGAUCGCUUUCUCCGUGUAUAUGAGUAUUCAACCCAGAAGGACACACAGUUGAUACCAAUUAGAAGGCCCGGCUCAAACAAUGUGAAUCAAGGUCCACGAACUCUUUCAUAUAGUCCAACGGAAAAUGCUGUCUUGAUAUGUUCAGACACAGAUGGUGGUUCCUAUGAACUUUACAUUGUACCCAAAGAUAGUCAUGGUAGGGGUGAUACUGUUCAAG